This 1443-nucleotide long non-coding RNA is filed under the name Zonotrichia albicollis (white-throated sparrow). RNAcentral's name for it is "lncRNA (ENSZALG00000002122.1)". The record is from RNAcentral. Lineage: Eukaryota; Metazoa; Chordata; Aves; Passeriformes; Passerellidae.
AGGAUCCAUUUGGGGUGUCCAGGGGGGUCUGGGACCCAUCCUGCGAGUCCAGAAUCCAUUUGAAGAGUCCGGGAUCCAUCUGCAGGAUCUGGGAUUUGUCCAGGGGGGUCCAGAAGUGGUUUGGGAUCCAUUUGUGGGGGUCUGGGAUACAUGAAGGGAUCUGGGACCCCUUUGAGGGGUCUGGGAUCCAUUUGUGGGGUUCAGAACCCAUUUGGGGAGUCCAGGAUCCAUCUGUGGGGUCUGGGAUCCAUCCAGGGGGAUCUGGGACCCAUUUGUGGGGCCCAGGGGGAUCUGGUCACGCCCUCGUUGGUCCCAGAGCAUCCAGGAGGGAAUCGGGCCCGGAUCCACAGCCGGGAUCCGACCGUGUCCGGUGUCCAGGGCUGUCCUGGGAGUGUCCCUGCCCUGGAAUUGUCCCUGUCCCAUUGUCCAGCUGUGUCCUGGGAGUGUCCCUGUCCUGGAAUUGUCCCUGUCCGGGAUCUGUCCCUGUCCUGGAACUGUCCCUGUCCCAUUGUCCAGCUGUGCCCUGGGAGUGUCCCUGUCCCAUUGUCCAGCUGUGUCCUGGGAGUGUCCCUGUCCUGGGAUCCGGCCAUGUCCAUUGUCCAGAGCUGUCCUGGGAUCUGUCCCAGUGUCCGGCUGUGUCCUGGGAUCUGUGUCCAGUGUCCAGCGCUGUCCCAGCACUGUCCCCAUCCCUGUCCCAUUGUCCAGUGCUGUCCUGGAAUUGCCCCUGUCCCAUUGUCCAGCCGUGUCCUGGGAUCCAGCCGUGUCCAGUGCUGUCCUGGGAGUGUCCCUGUCCCUGUCCUGGGAUCUGUCCCUGUCCCAUUGUCCAGCCGUGUCCUGGGAUCCAGUUGUGUCCAGUGUCCCUGUCCCAGUGUCCAGCUGUGUCCCUGUCCCUGUCCAGUGGGGGGCCGUGUCCCCGUCCCUGUCCUGGCCAUGUCCAGUGCUGUCCUGGGAUCCAGCCAUGUCCCAGGAUUUGGCCGUGUCCAGUGUCCAGCUGUGUCCCUGUCCCUGUCCUGGCCAUGUCCAGUGUCCCUGUCCCUGUCCAGUGUCCAGCUGUGUCCCUGUCCCAAGACCUGGCUGUCAUGUCCAGCAGUGUCCCUAUCCCUGUCCUGGCCGUGUCCAGUGUCCAGCUGUGUUGCGUCCAGCAGUGUCCACUCGUGUCCUGGGCUCUGGCCAUGUCCAGCGUCCAGCACUGUCCCUGUCCCUGUAUCUGAUCCUGUCCCAGGUGUGUCCCUGUCCCUGUCCCAGGCUCUGGCUGUGUCCCAGGGGUGCCCUGGGAUUGUCCCCAACCCCGUCCCUGUCCCCAUUCCUGUCCCAGGUGUGUCCCUGUCCCAGGUGUGUCCUCAUUCCUGUCCCCGUUCCUGUCCCAGGUGUGUCCCCAACCCGGGAUCCAACGGUGUCCCAGAUCCAGCUGUGCCCUGGGAUUGUCCCUGUGCCAGGUGUGUC